RNAcentral lists this long non-coding RNA (898 nucleotides) under Cercocebus atys (sooty mangabey). Its description in RNAcentral is "lncRNA (ENSCATG00000045757.1)". Lineage: Eukaryota; Metazoa; Chordata; Mammalia; Primates; Cercopithecidae. The record is from RNAcentral.
AUGGAAAAGAAAGCAAACUAUGGAAAUACACAAAGCACAAGCAGAGCAGUUAGGGGUGAGUGGAAGGUGUGGAGUUUUCUCCUGUCCUCCCAAGAAUUUCUUUCCUUCUCUUUCAGUGCUUGCUUGGCUUUUCUCCCAAAGGUUCAAUUCCAGACAAUCAACAUCCUCGUGUUGGAAAAGGCAGACUUGAAGACCACAGUUUACCAUACUAAACGUGCCGCCACUCCCUUCGAGGGAGAAUCCAAGGAUCUGACCAGCCACCUGCAAUAUUCCUUGCAGCGUAUUGGAGAGUUGGAGCGGGCUCCCUCUGCUGUCUCCAUGCAGCAGCAGGAAGAGGACAGGAACAGUGAGAACAAGAGCGCACUGCAGUUGGAGCAGCAAGUAAAGGAGCUGCAGGAGAAGAAGCUGAGCGAGGUGAAGGAGAUGGUAACCAUCCAAAGGAAGGGCUGGGAGGCGCGGCAGCCAGCCUUGGGGAAAGGGAGGUGUGAGGCCAAAGGCAGCUCCAGCCUGGGGGCAGGGAUGCCAGCACCCUUCAGGGCCAGUCCUGGUGACUGUUUCUUCUUCCUGCCCUCUGACCUUUAGAGGUGGGUAGCCCUGGGGUUCCUCCCAUGUCUGGACAUUAUAAUCCCAGCUAGAGGCAUGGAGCCUCCCAAUCAGAGGGGAAGAGACAGUGGUAUAAGAGGCUCCUUAUACCGGGGCUGGUGGCUCACGCCUAUAAUCCCAGCACUUUUGGAGGCUGAGGCAGGAGAAUCACUUGAGGUCAGGAGUUUGAGACCAGCCUAGCCAACAUCGUGAAAUCUCAUCUCUACUAAAAUUACAAAAAAAAAAAAAAAAUUAGCCAGGCAUGGUGGCACAUGCCUUUAAUCACAGCUACUCAGGAGGCUGAGGCACGAGAAUC